This 2573-nucleotide long non-coding RNA is filed under the name Canis lupus familiaris (dog). RNAcentral's name for it is "lncRNA (ENSCAFG00000059288.1)". Lineage: Eukaryota; Metazoa; Chordata; Mammalia; Carnivora; Canidae. The record is from RNAcentral.
UCAAGUAAUAGUGAGGAAUUUUCUACACUGAUGUUUAACAUUUAAACAUAAUUUCCUCUACCACCAAAAUACCCUUACUGGACUGGUAUUAAGAUCACAUGCCAUAAAAAUUGCAUCAUGGUGCUAGUAUUCUUGACCAGACCAGAGAUGUUUCCUUGAGGAAUAAACUUGUGUUUACUCUACUUAUCAACCUUUUUCUCAUCUCUGCAUAUUUUCACCAUCUGGAAUAUUCUUUAACCUGGCGCAGAAAAAAAUUGGGGAAGGGGAUGGCUAUUUAAAAAUAAAUGUAUGCUUUACCCUACAGUUAUUUUGAAUUAGUCUUGAUAAAUAAUUAAGGAAUGCAUAAUAUAUUAUUUAGAUGCCAUGGUCUUAAGAAUUUGAGUGGUAUUUCAAGUACAAUUAUAGUCAUUUAUUUAUCAGUAGAAAAUUUACAUAAUCACACUUCAAAAUCCAGUGGACUGGAGAGAUAUCAGAAAGACACCCAUGAAUGUGGUAAUGACUCUGAGCAUUAGAUUAAGUUAAUAAUGUAUUGAUGCACAUGAUAUUCUAAUAUCUAGCACUGCAGUAUUUGAUCACUUAAAAUGAUAAAAGCAUAAAUAUUUUUCUCUUUUCAAACUAUAUUUUAUACAGAAGGGUUCUUCAUAGUAUAAAAAGCAAUUUGAAAAAUCGAAAUUGAAUUAGACAAUCUCUAAUAAAAUGGAGCUAGUUAAGUUGAACUUAAAUAAAGUCAAAUUUCUAUUUCUAUUGGGCAAGGAAAUAAUUUUGUCAUAAUAAUAAUGAUCAGUUAGCAUAAAUUACUGUUCAUUUUGUUUUGAACUGACAAUAUAGACCUUAAGGCCGAAGUCCAGAAAAAUGACAGAAAUUCAAGUCCUCUCUCUUGUCAGUGAGCACAGCAUGCAAAUGAAGGGAUUACCUAUCCAAAAAGGUAACACACUUUCUGUUAGCUCAGUCAUGCUAUGGGUUCUUCCUUAGCAGCUAGUCCAUCUGAGACAAAUUUGGCAGAAAUAUAUGCAGUAUUUGUACUAUGCUGUUUGAAUCACUAGAGUCCCAUGUCAUAUCUGCAAACUCAGAUUUUGGACUAUAAUUGAGCAUGAGACUUGAGUGUGAAAACCUAAGCUACUCAGCAAUUUCUAACUUUAUUUGGGGGCAGCUAAACUUGUUAUUUUUUAUAUUAAUCUAAGUACCUACAAAUUGUCAUAAGUUACUUCAUAAAACAAUGCAAAUAUAAAUCCCUCAAUUAAUUCCUAUUUCCUUGUUGUCUAGAUAUUUUCCCUACCAGAAUCACUCAAGUGGCAUGUACUACAGACCCUAAAGAUGAAGAUCUGUCAAAUUACUUUUCUUCCAUUCUUUUCAAAGCCACUUGUCAUAAAUUUGUCAUGGUGAUAACUUCAUAUUUAAAGCUCCUAAACAGUUUUCAAACUAUUCCAGACUGUUCAACAUCCUCAGCUUCAGAUUCCUGUCAGCCAGUGCUAAUUCAACUUUGUAUAGAGAUCAUAUACUUCCAGGAUAAUUCAUUAAAAUGAUAUAUAUUGAGUAGCUUCUAUGUACAAACUAUGUGCUUUCUAAAAUUAAGGCCUAAAAUCCAUUAUUUGAGCUCCUCUCAAAGACUGUUAAAUUCAUACGACAGUUUCAGGUACCUUCAUAAUUCUCGCUGAAUUAAAAAUAAGGACUAAGUACACUUUUAUUAUUACUAUACAAGAGAUCUAGUCCUGACAGGAAGUAAGUGCAUAGAUUCUGAAUUUCAAUGAUAUUAAAUCUAUUAUUGUCUUCAUGAAGGCAUUACCUCCAAAUAAAUUAUAGUAAGUUUUUUCUCAUUAGACCAGGGUCGAUAAAUGCAUAAAUUAAUUAUAUUUGAGAUAUUUAUUCAGGGAAAAUAUUUCUUAAUCAUACUUGCUAGAAAUCCUUCAAUUCCAGUACAUUUCACUCAUAUUUAUAUAUGUGUGUGUAUGGUUACAUAUGUAGAUUAUGGCUUUUCCCCUAUGAGACAAAGAUUUGAGAGAUAUCCUGGGUGAUCUGUAAAUCAUUUUUGUGGACUGACUCAGAGAAAGUGUUUAUUAUUAUUAUUAUUAUUAUUAUUAUUAGCACACUUUCCUUUUCCCAAGUGGUUCAUUUACAAGUUUUCGCCAAUUAUUAUAGUGAUUAGCAUCUAUAGUUAUUUCCAGUCUCCCACUAGCAAUUAUAUAAGACAUAAACAUUUUAACCUUGUCAAGUAUGAACUCAAAACUAAAAAAGACCCAAAAAAAAAAAAAAAAAAAAAACCCUCCAAGAGCCAGGUUGCAGUUAAAAUGCUCCUGAUAGCUUGUUUUCCCAGGGCCAGUGACUAUGAAGAGAAACUCUGAGAACACAAGAUAUCCGUCAGACAGCUACUUAGUGAGACAGAACCAAAUGAAUAUUGUUAGGUGAGUGUUUUAAUAACGCAGCAUUUUCGAAGCAUUUUCCCAAGAUUAUUUCUAAUUGGCCCUGUCAUAAAGUAGUCGAAAACUGCCUUAAAACAGUAAUCAGUUUGAAACCAGUUGAGCAAGCCUAUGACAGGAAGUUGUUAAUAAUAUGCUUCGAAAUUUACCUGUGAAAUA